GAGAUGGAGAUCUGUUCUUUCAAUCCUGUUCCUUGCGUCCUUCCAUCCUGCAUGGAGACCCCAGACUGAGCAGGUAUUUAAAUCAGCUCUUCAGAUUUGAACUGACACAUCAGCCAAAUUGUGGUGUUCCUGGAGUUCCUGUUCCUGUGGUGUCCAUAUCCGUUUUAGUACAGACUAUGUCUCUAGAAUAGUGACAAGUCACACAGCAGUCUGUCAUCAGUAUCUGCAGGACAUCUUCUGUCAUGAGCUCUACAAUUCUGUAGCAUGUCUGUGCCACAGGAUAAGAGAAUUUUCUAUUCUUCCAACACUUACCAUUGGUUUCUACAAGGAAAGAAAGAUACUGUUGUCCACGCCAGCGUGGAGGAGGAGGGGCUCACCCCUAUCUGAGGAGUUAUCGACAGUUGUUAGCUGCUGGAAGAGGAAGAG
Nannospalax galili (Upper Galilee mountains blind mole rat) is the source of this 426-nucleotide long non-coding RNA. RefSeq lists it as uncharacterized. The record is from RefSeq and is a predicted model, not a curated record. The transcript has 3 exons. NCBI's taxonomy places the organism in Eukaryota, Metazoa, Chordata, Mammalia, Rodentia, Spalacidae.